CACAAGCUUGGUCCUGACUUUACUGUCAACUUUGAUAAAAUUUAUACAUGCAAGUAUCUGCGCCCCUGUGAGAAUGCCCUACUUACCCCCGCACCCGGGAAGAUGGAGCUGGUAUCAGGCACAACCCUACUGUUAGCCCAUGACGCCUUGCUCAGCCACACCCCCAAGGGAAUCCAGCAGUAAUAAACAUUAAGCCAUAAGUGCAAACUUGACUUAGUUAACAUCAAGAGGGCCGGUAAAACUCGUGCCAGCCACCGCGGUUAUACGAGAGGCCCAAGUUGACAAAAACCGGCGUAAAGCGUGGUUAAUAAAACUUAAACUAAAGCCGAACAUCUUCAAAGCUGUUAUACGCACCCGAAGACAGGAAGACCCCCAACGAAAGUGGCUUUAACCACUAUGAAUCCACGAAAGCUAGGAAACAAACUGGGAUUAGAUACCCCACUAUGCCUAGCCCUAAACACAAAUAACCCCAAUACACACCUAUUCGCCAGGGAACAACGAGCCCCAGCUUAAAACCCAAAGGACUUGGCGGUGCUUUAGACCCCCCUAGAGGAGCCUGUUCUAGAACCGAUACUCCCCGUUCAACCUCACCCUCCCUUGUUUUCCCCGCCUAUAUACCGCCGUCGUCAGCUUACCCUGUGAAGGCCCAAAAGUAAGCAAAAUUGGCAAACCCCAAAACGUCAGGUCGAGGUGUAGCGUACGAGAGGGGAAGAAAUGGGCUACAUUUACUGACCCAGUAAACACGAAUGUUGUACUGAAACAAACAUCUGAAGGAGGAUUUAGCAGUAAGAGGAAAAUAGAGCGUUCCUCUGAAAACGGCCCUGAAGCGCGCACACACCGCCCGUCACUCUCCCCAAAACCUGCAACCUAUAAAUAAUAUAACUAAGCCCACCAUAAAGGGGAGGCAAGUCGUAACAUGGUAAGUGUACCGGAAGGUGCACUUGGACAAACCC
RNAcentral lists this non-coding RNA (953 nucleotides) under Callogobius nigromarginatus. Its description in RNAcentral is "12S ribosomal RNA". It matches the Rfam family "Bacterial small subunit ribosomal RNA". Lineage: Eukaryota; Metazoa; Chordata; Actinopteri; Gobiiformes; Gobiidae. The record is from RNAcentral.